RNAcentral lists this ribosomal RNA (542 nucleotides) under Aspergillus aculeatus. RNAcentral describes it as "eukaryotic LSU rRNA". Lineage: Eukaryota; Fungi; Ascomycota; Eurotiomycetes; Eurotiales; Aspergillaceae. The record is from RNAcentral.
UCUGGGUCCACCUCCCACCCGUGUCUAUCGUACCUUGUUGCUUCGGCGGGCCCGCCGUUUCGACGGCCGCCGGGGAGGCCUUGCGCCCCCGGGCCCGCGCCCGCCGAAGACCCCAACAUGAACGCUGUUCUGAAAGUAUGCAGUCUGAGUUGAUUAUCGUAAUCAGUUAAAACUUUCAACAACGGAUCUCUUGGUUCCGGCAUCGAUGAAGAACGCAGCGAAAUGCGAUAAGUAAUGUGAAUUGCAGAAUUCAGUGAAUCAUCGAGUCUUUGAACGCACAUUGCGCCCCCUGGUAUUCCGGGGGGCAUGCCUGUCCGAGCGUCAUUGCUGCCCUCAAGCACGGCUUGUGUGUUGGGCCCCCGUCCCCCUCUCCCGGGGGACGGGCCCGAAAGGCAGCGGCGGCACCGCGUCCGGUCCUCGAGCGUAUGGGGCUUUGUCACCUGCUCUGUAGGCCCGGCCGGCGCCAGCMGACACCCAACUUUAUUUUUCUAAGGUUGACCUCGGAUCAGGUAGGGAUACCCGCUGAACUUAAGCAUAUCAAU